AAGGAUUUAAGUUAAUAAAACUAAUAACCUUCAAAGUUGUAAAUAAAGUUUACUUUAAGCCUUA
This 64-nucleotide transfer RNA is filed under the name Pristolycus diversecostatus. RNAcentral's name for it is "tRNA-Trp". The record is from RNAcentral. Lineage: Eukaryota; Metazoa; Arthropoda; Insecta; Coleoptera; Lampyridae.